RNAcentral lists this ribosomal RNA (404 nucleotides) under uncultured Eubacteriales bacterium. RNAcentral describes it as "bacterial SSU rRNA". It matches the Rfam family "Bacterial small subunit ribosomal RNA", at positions 356 to 774 of the family's 1533-position model. Lineage: Bacteria; Bacillati; Bacillota; Clostridia; Eubacteriales. The record is from RNAcentral.
GGGGAAUAUUGCACAAUGGGGGAAACCCUGAUGCAGCAACGCCGCGUGAAGGAAGAAGGUUUUCGGAUCGUAAACUUCUAUCGAUGGGGAAGAAAAAAAUGACGGUACCCAAGUAAGAAGCCCCGGCUAACUACGUGCCAGCAGCCGCGGUAAUACGUAGGGGGCAAGCGUUAUCCGGAAUUACUGGGUGUAAAGGGUGAGUAGGCGGAUUAGUAAGCCAUAUGUGAAAACUCAGGGCUUAACUUUGAGAUUGCAUAAGGAACUGUUAAUCUAGAGUACAGGAGAGGUAAGUGGAAUUCCUAGUGUAGCGGUGAAAUGCGUAGAUAUUGGGAGGAACACCAGUGGCGAAGGCGACUUACUGGACUGAAACUGACGCUGAGGCACGAAAGCGUGGGUAGCGAACA